GAUUAUUGCGAUUACGGUUUCAAUAACAUGACUUAAUAAAACAAGAGAAUUCUAUUCUUUCACUUAAUUGUGUAAACACAUAAAUAUUG
RNAcentral lists this non-coding RNA (89 nucleotides) under unclassified sequences. RNAcentral's name for it is "RT-9 RNA". It matches the Rfam family "RT-9 RNA". From Rfam's summary of the family: Firmicutes. Nearby to self-splicing intron genes The record is from Rfam by way of RNAcentral.